UACUGUUGAUAGCUGUCAAUACCAAAGGAAGGACACUGUUUGGAUACCUGCUUGUGCAGAAGGAUGUUGCACCUCAGCUGAACAAGACAGGGCAUGGGACAUUCGGACCUACAGGAUCGUCGCACUCACUCUGAAACCACGCCAGUGCCUGCAGUGCGUGGGGACUACAGAUGAGAUCUUUGUUACAGAAGCAUGAGAUCAAUUCACCAUUCUGGGCCAUGUAGUGGAAGAUUUGAUUCUGAUCUGCUUGAUGCUGGUGUAAAGGAAGAGUCACAUCCUGGAAACAAAUGGAUAUGCCACGGUACAAAGGAGGAUGAGAUCAGAAGCAAGCUCUAUUACUGCUAUGAGCAGCUCCCUGCUGAUGCAGCCAUCCUUGAAAGAAUCAUAGAGACUUACAGUUGACUUUUCAGCUCCUCGUGUAGUUUGAGGCAC
Tyto alba (common barn owl) is the source of this 432-nucleotide long non-coding RNA. RefSeq lists it as uncharacterized. The record is from RefSeq and is a predicted model, not a curated record. Lineage: Eukaryota; Metazoa; Chordata; Aves; Strigiformes; Tytonidae. The transcript has 3 exons.